AUGACGCGAACUUCCGCGUUUGCUGGCUUCUUAUUGACGCUCAACUUAGGGACCGUGCGAUUUUUCUCUUUUUCGCGUUUUUUAACGGUAUUGUGUUACUUUUGUGUCUAUUUUCAGAAUAAAAGAAUAUAUAUAUAUUUUUUUUAUGCAAAUAACACUGAUAUAUCAGCGAAAAUGGACUGUAAAAAUAUAAAGGCACAUAAUUAGGCUACAGUAUUCUUUAAUAAUUGUACAUGUCAUCAGCUCAACUUAGGGACCAUUUUUCUCUUAUUUACACUUUUUAGGGACCCUGAUUAUUUUGUAGGCCUAUCUAUUUUCAGAAAAGAAUAAUACACUAUUUUGAAAGGCUACAAAUGAAAAUGUAAAAAAGUAACCAGAGAUUAUGCUCCAGCUUGGAUCCAGCCCCUUAUGAAGACUUCAGACACAUUUGAAGAGAUGAAACCUAUCCUGCAAGGACUCCAGAACAUCAAACAUGGAUGAUUAUAAAUAAAUGAUCAUUUUAUCAUUGCUUUAAACUGCACAUGAAUUGUUGCUUAAAAUGCCUGCGUUUGUAAAUACUAAUUUGUUCUAUCUAAUAACUGUACUUUCUGAUAUCUCAUAAAAUCCUACUGUGGUUUUGUAAAAGAAAUCUGCAUUUUCUGUAAAGCUGCUUUGAAAUAUGUGUUGUGAAAAGUGUUAUACAAAUGAAUGUAUGAAUUAAAUUGAAUUGACUUGAAA
This is a long non-coding RNA of Cyprinus carpio (common carp), 717 nucleotides long. RefSeq lists it as uncharacterized. The transcript has 2 exons. The record is from RefSeq and is a predicted model, not a curated record. NCBI's taxonomy places the organism in Eukaryota, Metazoa, Chordata, Actinopteri, Cypriniformes, Cyprinidae.